UGGGGAAUAUUGGACAAUGGGCGAAAGCCUGAUCCAGCCAUGCCGCGUGAGUGACGAAGGCCUUAGGGUUGUAAAACUCUUUCGUCGGGGACGAUAAUGACGGUACCCGAAGAAGAAGCUCCGGCUAACUUCGUGCCAGCAGCCGCGGUAAUACGAAGGGAGCUAGCGUUGUUCGGAAUCACUGGGCGUAAAGCGCACGUAGGUGGGCAGUUAAGUCAGGGGUGAAAGCCCGAGGCUCAACCUCGGAAUUGCCUCUGAUACUGGCUGUCUAGAGUUCGAGAGAGGUGAGUGGAAUUCCUAGUGUAGAGGUGAAAUUCGUAGAUAUUGGGAAGAACACCGGUGGCGAAGGCGGCUCACUGGCUCGUUUCUGACGCUGUAGCGCGAAAGCGUGGGGAUCAAACAGGAUUAGAUACCCAUGUAGUCCCUGAGCGGGCUGGCAAGGCGCAU
RNAcentral lists this ribosomal RNA (447 nucleotides) under uncultured bacterium. RNAcentral describes it as "bacterial SSU rRNA". It matches the Rfam family "Bacterial small subunit ribosomal RNA", at positions 355 to 825 of the family's 1533-position model. The record is from RNAcentral.